This 279-nucleotide unclassified non-coding RNA is filed under the name plant metagenome. Its description in RNAcentral is "partial contains small subunit ribosomal RNA, internal transcribed spacer 1, and 5.8S ribosomal RNA". The record is from RNAcentral.
UUUCCGUAGGUGAACCUGCGGAAGGAUCAUUACUGAGUAACCGAGGUCCGAGGCCUGUCUCUCACACCCAAGGCCUUGCACGCCCGACUGCCCUCACACGCGUUCAUCCGCCGCCUGUAUACACCACCGCCUGGGUAGUCCUUUUCCUUGUUCGGAGGGAGGCUUUCAUUUCCACACACACCUUGUAUGCUGUUUAUACUGUCUUUUUUGUAUUUGCCAUCACGCAAGCAAAACAACCUUCAACACCGCAUCUAUUGCCUCUCACAUCGAUGAAGAACC